RNAcentral lists this ribosomal RNA (468 nucleotides) under uncultured bacterium. Its description in RNAcentral is "bacterial SSU rRNA". It matches the Rfam family "Bacterial small subunit ribosomal RNA", at positions 329 to 794 of the family's 1533-position model. The record is from RNAcentral.
GACCAGACUCCUACGGGAGGCAGCAGUGAGGAAUAUUGGUCAAUGGCCGAGAGGCUGAACCAGCCAAGUCGCGUGAGGGAUGACGGCCCUACGGGUUGUAAACCUCUUUUGUCAGGGAGCAACGCCGGCUACGUGUAGCCGGACUGAGAGUACCUGAAGAAAAAGCAUCGGCUAACUCCGUGCCAGCAGCCGCGGUAAUACGGAGGAUGCGAGCGUUAUCCGGAUUUAUUGGGUUUAAAGGGUGCGUAGGCGGGCUGUUAGGUCAGCGGUCAAAUGUCGGGGCUCAACCCCGGCCUGCCGUUGAAACUGGCGGCCUCGAGUGGGCGAGAAGUAUGCGGAAUGCGUGGUGUAGCGGUGAAAUGCAUAGAUAUCACGCAGAACUCCGAUUGCGAAGGCAGCAUACCGGCGCCCUACUGACGCUGAGGCACGAAAGCGUGGGUAUCGAACAGGAUUAGAUACCCGAGUAUG